This 273-nucleotide ribosomal RNA is filed under the name uncultured bacterium. Its description in RNAcentral is "partial 16S ribosomal RNA". It matches the Rfam family "Bacterial small subunit ribosomal RNA", at positions 523 to 796 of the family's 1533-position model. The record is from RNAcentral.
AUACGGAGGGGGCAAGCGUUGUUCGGAAUUACUGGGCGUAAAGGGCGCGUAGGCGGCGUCGUUAGUCAGGUGUGAAAUCCCCGGGCUCAACCCGGGAACUGCGUUUGAUACUGCGGAACUAGAGAUCGGGAGAGGGUAGUGGAAUUCCCAGUGUAGAGGUGAAAUUCGUAGAUAUUGGGAAGAACACCAGUGGCGAAGGCGGCUACCUGGACCGGACCUGACGCUGAGGUGCGAAAGCGUGGGGAGCAAACAGGAUAGAAACCCCAGUAGUCC